Long non-coding RNA from Daphnia pulicaria, 1045 nucleotides. RefSeq lists it as uncharacterized. The record is from RefSeq and is a predicted model, not a curated record. The transcript has 5 exons. NCBI's taxonomy places the organism in Eukaryota, Metazoa, Arthropoda, Branchiopoda, Diplostraca, Daphniidae.
UUUAUUCUUAUCGAAUCAAAUAACUACAUUUUCCCCACGAUUAACUAUAAUAAUUCCAAUCCGUCCAGCGGAUGUCGAGCGCGGGUGAGAAAACCGAUUUGAUCGUUUAGCGGAUUGGAUUUAAGGGGGAGGAGGGGGUUGAUUUUUAAUCAAUGUUUCAAUCGAUUACUUAAAGAUGGCAGUACUGUCGUCUGCUUUCGAUUUGUUUACAAGUUUUGAAGUAGAGAGGAAGUUUUUAAAGAUUAUAAAGAAAACGAAGCAAUCACAUAUUUGGAAAGCCGGAAAGGUACACGUGACUGCACGAAAAAGUAGAACAAGAAAAUUACAAGAAUGUGGUCGUCGUUUGAGCCCUGAUCGUCUACACAUCCAUGUAUCCACCUGUUUAGCAGAUUUGAGACCUGAGCCUGCCAUAAUAACCACAAGAUAUGCAAGUUUUGCUUGUGUUGGACCUGUCAUCAGCAUCAUUGCUAAGAUACACUAACAUUCCACUUGAUUGGCUUUCUUCUUCUUAUUACCGAUGUCGGUCAAGUUACGGAUCUCUUCUUCCGAGAACGCCUUUCAUUCCUAUCCCGCUUGGUGGAUUAUUCCAUUUUUCUGCGAAUGGAGCACUUGAUGAUGCCUGGCCGUAUUUCCCGGGCGUAAAGAAUUCGAAGGAAUCGCCUUUGGGCCGACGACUAAUUAAAUUGCUGCGUCGUCGAUUCAACUGAUAGUCAAGCGGCGACAGCUGGGCGUAUGCUGGAUUAAUUCCAUCACGAAAGAUGCACAAUCACUUGAAUUCUACUGCAAUAAAUCGAUCUUUAUCCGUAAUGUACGUCCGUUGGUUGCGAGCAGUGGCGAAAUACUGCUCUUCGGAAGUGAAGUACGUCCCUCGCUUAUAUGCGUAUUGCGCUCACGGUCCCGAUUCCACUUCAAGAUUCUAUUUCAUCUUUCUCUCAUUCGAUACAUAUUGUUCUUCACUGGAAUUCAACUGUCACUCCACUGCAUCCUACGUAAUUGGCAAGUUUAUUCUAUUUGUUUGUAAAUUAUUACAAAUUGUAUAGUUUCA